GUAGGUGAACCUGCGGAAGGAUCAUUAACACGUAUCCACGUAUCUACCCUGUGCAUCUGUAAAACGUGCGCGAUUCUGCAGCUUGGUACCGCGAGCGGCGAGAUGUGGUGUUGCCGCGAGCUAGGGUCUCUUUCGGGAGAACCCAAGGGCGAGCUGUGGCUGCGCGUAACCACCCGGGUUACUUUUUCUCCUCGGAGAAGAACGGCUCGGUGAUCGGUUCAUUUUUAACCCCAUGUAACUAUUCUUAACUGAUCUUUUUAAUGUUUCGUCUUCGGAUGGAAUAUUAAAAUUUACGUAACCAAAAACAAUUCUUAGCAACGGAUAUCUUGGUUCUC
This 335-nucleotide unclassified non-coding RNA is filed under the name rhizosphere metagenome. RNAcentral's name for it is "partial ribosomal RNA internal transcribed spacer region". The record is from RNAcentral.